ACUCCUACGGGAGGCAGCAGAGGGGAAUAUUGGACAAUGGGCGCAAGCCUGAUCCAGCCAUGCCGCGUGGAUGAUGAAGGCCCUAGGGUUGUAAAGUCCUUUCGGCGGGGAAGAUAAUGACGGUACCCGCAGAAGAAGCCCCGGCUAACUUCGUGCCAGCAGCCGCGGUAAUACGAAGGGGGCUAGCGUUGCUCGGAAUCACUGGGCGUAAAGCGCACGUAGGCGGACUCUUAAGUCGGUGGUGAAAUCCUGGAGCUCAACUCCAGAACUGCCUUCGAUACUGGCGACCUUGAGUCCGGGAGAGGUGAGUGGAACUCCGAGUGUAGAGGUGAAAUUCGUAGAUAUUCGGAAGAACACCGGUGGCGAAGGCGGCCAUCUGGACCGGCACUGACGCUGAGGCGCGAAAGCGUGGGGAGCAAACAGGAUUAGAUACCCUGGUAGUCCACGCCCUAAACGAUGACGACUAGUUGUUGGAGGAGUUAAAUCCUUUAGUAACGCAGCUAACGCGCGAAGUCGUCCGCCUGGGGAGUACGGUCGCAAGAUUAAAACUCAAAGGAAUUGACG
RNAcentral lists this ribosomal RNA (564 nucleotides) under uncultured Alphaproteobacteria bacterium. Its description in RNAcentral is "bacterial SSU rRNA". It matches the Rfam family "Bacterial small subunit ribosomal RNA", at positions 335 to 915 of the family's 1533-position model. Lineage: Bacteria; Pseudomonadati; Pseudomonadota; Alphaproteobacteria. The record is from RNAcentral.